This 206-nucleotide ribosomal RNA is filed under the name uncultured bacterium. Its description in RNAcentral is "partial 16S ribosomal RNA". It matches the Rfam family "Bacterial small subunit ribosomal RNA", at positions 524 to 729 of the family's 1533-position model. The record is from RNAcentral.
UACGAAGGGGGCUAGCGUUGCUCGGAAUCACGUGGGCGUAAAGCGCACGUAGGCGGCUUUUUAAGUCAGGGGUGAAAUCCUGGAGCUCAACUCCAGAACUGCCUUUGAUACUGAGAAGCGUUGAGUCCGGGAGAGGUGAGUGGAACUGCGAGUGUAGAGGUGAAAUUCGUAGAUAUUCGGAGGAACACCAGAGCGAAGGCGCAAGC